CGCUGUCAACCUGGUCUGACUUCCUUCUGAGUUUGUAUAGAUUGUGCGAUAAAUCCCCUCGUGUUGAUCGCUCUCAGAUACAACGGUCCCAGUUUGUAAUUCCAGUUGUGGAUUCCGUCCUACCACUGUACUCGGGCGCACUAGUUACAUUCGCUCCAUUCAUUUCAUGCAUUUAGGAGUUUAAGUUUAGUUCGGGGUGUAGUAAUUGACUCAUUUCACUUUUUCUUAACGAAGAUGGUGUGCCUCAAACAUUUUUGUUUCUGGAACAAAGUACUAGUGUCGAAACAUAAUUCUAGUGAGUUCUUCGACUGUCACCCUUACCUUCGGUUAUCACUUUACUUCGUUUAAGAACAUAGUGAGAUUGCGUGUUGAUAAGAGUAGUAUGGCAGUUUGUCCAGUGUCUUGAAGUGUUUGUCAGUAGUCAACUGAACGGCCUACUCGGAGGUAGUCCAGUUAGAAAGUGGUUCUAGAUUCAGGGACAUGAGAAUCCACUCCAGCACAUUUUUGAGUACAAGUUCCAAUGUUCUCGCUAUGUCCCAUAGAAUCGAGCCGAAACGUUAACCCGUGCUCCCUUCCUUCUGAAAGGACAACGAAUAGAAAUAUCCAUACAGUUAGAAUGUAGUAAACUCACCUGAAUGAUAUAGUGCCUACAUCGAAGCUACUUACAAUGAUGACAGUCAGUCUCUAUUUUCUACUGGGUGCUUGACUAAGCCUUACCUUUUUUUUCUUACACAAGGUUUCAACUCGAUUAAGUAAACCGCGAGCGCAUCUCAGGCGUGUUCGAGCAUUUCCAGAAUUCCUGGAGGUUACACUUUCUCGAAUCGUCUGCGAUGGCCGUAAGUAACCAGACUAAGAAAAACUCCAGC
This 866-nucleotide long non-coding RNA is filed under the name Physcomitrium patens. Its description in RNAcentral is "long non-coding RNA (PPAT_LNC001934)". Lineage: Eukaryota; Viridiplantae; Streptophyta; Bryopsida; Funariales; Funariaceae. The record is from RNAcentral.